RNAcentral lists this ribosomal RNA (234 nucleotides) under uncultured bacterium. RNAcentral's name for it is "partial 16S ribosomal RNA". It matches the Rfam family "Bacterial small subunit ribosomal RNA", at positions 543 to 776 of the family's 1533-position model. The record is from RNAcentral.
GCUCGGAAUCACUGGGCGUAAAGGGUGCGUAGGCGGGUCUUUAAGUCAGGGGGGAAAUCCUGGAGCUCAACUCCAGAACUGCCUUUGAUACUGAAGAUCUUGAGUUCGGGAGAGGUGAGUGGAACUGCGAGUGUAGAGGUGAAAUUCGUAGAUAUUCGCAAGAACACCAGUGGCGAAGGCGGCUCACUGGCCCGAUACUGACGCUGAGGCGCGAAAGCGUGGGGAGCAAACAGG